This 455-nucleotide ribosomal RNA is filed under the name uncultured bacterium. RNAcentral's name for it is "bacterial SSU rRNA". It matches the Rfam family "Bacterial small subunit ribosomal RNA", at positions 340 to 784 of the family's 1533-position model. The record is from RNAcentral.
UACGGGGGCAGCAGUGGGGAAUAUUGCACAAUGGGCGAAAGCCUGAUGCAGCUAUGCCGCGUGUAUGAAGAAGGCCUUAGGGUUGUAAAGUACUUUCAUCGGGGAGGAAAAAACAAAACUAAUAAUUUUAUUUCUUGACGUUACCCGAAAAAGAAGCACCGGCUAACUCCGUGCCAGCAGCCGCGGUAAUACGGAGGGUGCUAGCGUUAAUCAGAAUUACUGGGCGUAAAGAGCACGUAGGUGGUUUUUUUAAGUCAGAUGUGAAAUCCCUGGGCUUAACCUGGAACUGCAUUUUGAAACUGAAAUACUAGAGUAUCGUAGAGGGAGGUAGAAUUCUAGGUGUAGCGGUGAAAUGCGUAGAUAUCUGGAGGAAUACCUGUGGCGAAAGCGGCCUCCUAAACGAAUACUGACACUGAGGUGCGAAAAGCGUGGGGAGCGAAAACAGGGAUUAGGAU